GGCUCAGGACGAACGCUGGCGGCGUGCCUAACACAUGCAAGUCAGGGAGAAAAGGAUAGCAAUAUCCUGAGUAAACCGGCGAACGGGUGAGUAACACGUAGGCAACUUACCUUGUGAACGGGAAUAACUCCGCGAAAGCGGAGCUAAUACCCGAUAUCGUCUCGAAACGACAUCGUUUUGAGAUAAAAGGCCCCAAAAGGGUGUCACAAGAUGGGCCUGCGUCCCAUUAGAUAGUUGGCGGGGUAAUGGCCCACCAAGUCGACGAUGGGUAGCUGGUCUGAGAGGACGACCAGCCACACUGGAACUGAGACACGGUCCAGACUUCUACGGAAGGCAGCAGUGAGGAAUAUUGCUCAAUGGGCGAAAGCCUGAAGCAGCGACGCCGCGUGAGGGAUGAAAUCCGUUAGGAUGUAAACCUCUUUUACAGGGGAUGAAUGUCCCGAUUAUCGGGAUUGACCGUACCCUGUGAAUAAGCACCGGCCAACUACGUGCCAGCAGCCGCGGUAACACGCAGGGUGCAAGCGUUGUCCAGAAUUACUGGGUGUAAAGGGUCCGCAGGCGGGCAAGCAAGUCGGUGGUGAAAGUCUUUGGCUCAACCAAAGAACUGCCUUCGAUACUGCUUGUCUUGAGUUCGAGAGAGGAUAAUGGAAUUCAUGGUGUAGCGGUGAAAUGCGUAGAGAUCAUGAAGAACACCAGUAGCGAAGGCGGUUAUCUGGCUCGAUACUGACGCUCAGGGACGAAAGCGUGGGUAGCAAACAGGAUUAGAUACCCUGGUAGUCCACGUCUUAAACGAUGGAUGUUCGGUGUCGGUCCGCAAGGAUCGGUGCCUGAGCCAACGCGUUAAACAUCCCACCUGGGAAGUACGAUCGCAAGGUUGAAACUCAAAU
RNAcentral lists this ribosomal RNA (887 nucleotides) under uncultured bacterium. RNAcentral describes it as "bacterial SSU rRNA". It matches the Rfam family "Bacterial small subunit ribosomal RNA", at positions 21 to 906 of the family's 1533-position model. The record is from RNAcentral.